Molecule: ribosomal RNA, 295 nt
Filed under: uncultured eukaryote
Lineage: Eukaryota
Description: partial 18S rRNA
Rfam family: Eukaryotic small subunit ribosomal RNA
Source: RNAcentral
UAUUAUAUCAUUGAGAUUAUUUUGUAGGUGGAUACCCGUGGUAAUUCUAGAGCUAAUACAUGUCACUAAAAAUAUAUUAUUUUAUAUAUUGUGCGGUUAUUUCUUUUCAAACCAAAAUGCUUCAGCAUUGUGGAUGAUUCAUAAAAAUGUUAGGAGAACGCUUUAAUACGUGACGAAUCAUUCAAGUUUCUGACCUAUCAGUUAGUCAGUAGUGUAUUGGACUACUGAGGCGUUGACGGGUAACAGAGAAUUAGGGUUCUGUUCCGGAGAGGGAGCCUGAGAAACAGCUACUACA